This 253-nucleotide ribosomal RNA is filed under the name uncultured bacterium. RNAcentral describes it as "partial 16S ribosomal RNA". It matches the Rfam family "Bacterial small subunit ribosomal RNA", at positions 524 to 776 of the family's 1533-position model. The record is from RNAcentral.
UACGUAGGGUGCGAGCGUUGAUCGGAAUUACUGGGCGUAAAGCGUGCGCAGGCGGUUAUGUAAGACAGAGGUGAAAUCCCCGGGCUCAACCUGGGAACUGCCUUUGUGACUGCAUGACUAGAGUACGGCAGAGGGGGAUGGAAUUCCGCGUGUAGCAGUGAAAUGCGUAGAGAUGUGGAGGAAUACCGAUGGCGAAGGCAGCCUCCUGGGCCAACACUGACGCUCAUGCACGAAAGCGUGGGGAGCAAACAGG